This 255-nucleotide ribosomal RNA is filed under the name uncultured bacterium. RNAcentral's name for it is "partial 16S ribosomal RNA". It matches the Rfam family "Bacterial small subunit ribosomal RNA", at positions 99 to 354 of the family's 1533-position model. The record is from RNAcentral.
CGGACGGGUGAGUAACGCGUGGGCAACCUGCCUUACACAGGGGGAUAACACUUAGAAAUAGGUGCUAAUACCGCAUAAGCGCACAGCUUUGCAUGAAGCAGUGUGAAAAACUCCGGUGGUGUAAGAUGGACCCGCGUCUGAUUAGCUGGUUGGCAGGGUAAAGGCCUACCAAGGCGACGAUCAGUAGCCGGCCUGAGAGGGUGAACGGCCACAUUGGGACUGAGACACGGCCCAGACUCCUACGGAAGGCAGCAG